Molecule: non-coding RNA, 421 nt
Organism: Rhinichthys klamathensis goyatoka
Lineage: Eukaryota; Metazoa; Chordata; Actinopteri; Cypriniformes; Leuciscidae
Source: the annotation of a RefSeq genome assembly
ACACACUCUUCAUCAUCACACAAGACUAAACUACAACUAUGAACAACAUCAACUUCUUAAUCUGUACUCUCUCUGUGUGCAUUCAAGGUUUCAGUGGACAGGUGACUGUGACUCAGACUCCUUUUGUACAAAUGGUUACAAUUGGUGAAUCAGUCACAAUAAACUGCAAAACAAACACAGUAGUGAGCAAUGGCUGUUAUGGUUCAAAUACGUGUAUGGCCUGGUACUUACAGAAACCUGGAGAAGCUCCUAAACUCCUGAUUCAUUCUGUAAACCAAAGAGUUUCAAACACUCACUCUAGAUUCAGUGGCGGUGGAUCUAACUAUGGCAGUGAUUUUACUCUGACCAUCAGUGGAGUCCAGACUGAAGAUACAGGAGAUUAUUACUGUCAGAGUGAACACUGAUCAACAGUAAAGAUGUG